This 503-nucleotide ribosomal RNA is filed under the name uncultured bacterium. RNAcentral's name for it is "partial 16S ribosomal RNA". It matches the Rfam family "Bacterial small subunit ribosomal RNA", at positions 30 to 522 of the family's 1533-position model. The record is from RNAcentral.
AUUGAACGCUGGCGGCAGGCCUAACACACGCAAGUCGAACGGUAGCACAGAGAGCUUGCUCUCGGGUGACGAGUGGCGGACGGGUGAGUAAUGUCUGGGAAACUGCCUGAUGGAGGGGGAUAACUACUGGAAACGGUAGCUAAUACCGCAUAACGUCGCAAGAACAACGAGGGGGACCUUCGGGCCUCUUGCCAUCAGAUGCGCCCAGAUGUGAUUAGCGAGUAGGUGGGGUAACGGCUCACCUAGGCGACGAUCCCUAGCUGGUCUGAGAGGAUGACCAGCCACACUGGAACUGAGACACGGUCCAGACUCCUACGGGAGGCAGCAGUGGGGAAUAUUGCACAAUGGGCGCAAGCCUGAUGCAGCCAUGCCGCGUGUAUGAAGAAGGCCUUCGGGUUGUAAAGUACUUUCAGCGGGGAGGAAGGCGAUACGGUUAAUAACCGUGUUGAUUGACGUUACCCGCAGAAGAAGCACCGGCUAACUCCGUGCCAGCCGCCGCGUAA